Molecule: ribosomal RNA, 274 nt
Filed under: uncultured bacterium
Lineage: Bacteria
Description: partial 16S ribosomal RNA
Rfam family: Bacterial small subunit ribosomal RNA
Source: RNAcentral
UCCUACGGGGGGCAGCAGUAGGGAAUCUUCGGCAAUGGGCGAAAGCCUGACCGAGCAACGCCGCGUGAAUGAAGAAGGCCUUCAGGUUGUAAAAUUCUGUUAUAAGGGAAGAAAGGUGAUAGGAGGAAAUGACUAUCAAUUGACGGUACCUUAUGAGAAAGCCACGGCUAACUACGUGCCAGCAGCCGCGGUAAUACGUAGGGAGCAAGCGUUGUUCGGAAUGACUGGGCGUAAAGGGUGCGUAGGCGGUUGUACAAGUUAGAAGUGAAAUACC